GACGAACGCUGGCGGCGUGCUUAACACAUGCAAGUCGAACGGUAAGGCCCCAGCUUGCUGGGGUACACGAGUGGCGAACGGGUGAGUAACACGUGGGUGACCUGCCCCGCACUUCGGGAUAAGCCUGGGAAACUGGGUCUAAUACCGGAUAGGACCGCACCGAGAGGGUGUGGUGGAAGGUUUUUCGGUGUGGGAUGGGCCCGCGGCCUAUCAGCUUGUUGGUGGGGUAAUGGCCUACCAAGGCGGCGACGGGUAGCCGGCCUGCGAGGGUGGACGGCCACCUUGGGACUGAGACAGGCACCAGACUCCUACGGGAGGCAGCAGUGGGGAAUAUUGCACAAUGGGGGGAAGCCUGAUGCGGCGACGCCGCGUGGGGGAUGACGGCCUUCGGGUUGUAAACUCAUUUCACCAUCGACGAAGGUUUUCUGACGGUAGAUGGAGAAGAAGCACCGGCUAACUACGUG
RNAcentral lists this ribosomal RNA (464 nucleotides) under uncultured bacterium. RNAcentral describes it as "partial 16S ribosomal RNA". It matches the Rfam family "Bacterial small subunit ribosomal RNA", at positions 28 to 507 of the family's 1533-position model. The record is from RNAcentral.